ACCAUGCUGCGGGAGGAAAGUCCGGGCAACACGAGCCACCAUACUUCCUAACGGGAAGGCGGCAGGAAGGCAAGCGUCCUGCCGACAGCAAGUGCCGCAGAAAACAAACCGCCCCGCAAGGGGUAAGGGUGAAAACGCGAGGCAAGAGCUCACGACAGCCGACAGCGAUGCCGGCUGAUGGCAAACCUUAUGGGUUGAAAGACCAAAUAUACCGACAGUCAAGGGCUGGCUCGCCCGUUGUCGGGGGGUAGGUUGAUAGAGGCCGUCGGCAACGGCGGCAGUAGAUUGAUGAUAGAGGCCGCAGUGAACCCUGCGGAACAGAACCCGGCUUAUGCGGCUGCC
This 342-nucleotide RNase P RNA is filed under the name human gut metagenome. Its description in RNAcentral is "Bacterial RNase P class A". It matches the Rfam family "Bacterial RNase P class A", at positions 31 to 352 of the family's 367-position model. Rfam says of the family: Ribonuclease P (RNase P) is a ubiquitous endoribonuclease, found in archaea, bacteria and eukarya as well as chloroplasts and mitochondria. Its best characterised activity is the generation of mature 5'-ends of tRNAs by cleaving the 5'-leader elements of precursor-tRNAs. The record is from RNAcentral.